This 218-nucleotide long non-coding RNA is filed under the name Elaeis guineensis (African oil palm). RNAcentral's name for it is "long non-coding RNA (EGUI_LNC065113)". Lineage: Eukaryota; Viridiplantae; Streptophyta; Magnoliopsida; Arecales; Arecaceae. The record is from RNAcentral.
CCCCUUUCUAUUUCUCACGCCCCAUAAAUUGUAAAAUGCCAUGUGUACAUCAAAGUUGGGUUGAAGAGGUGCCUUAUUUCAGAAGGACUCUUCGAUCUUAACUUAUGGUGUUCACAUGAGAAGUCACAAAGCUUCUCUUAUUGGCACCAUCAACCCUUGCCUUUGGAUCUGGAAGGAAGCCCAUCCAAUGGCCAAGAUAGAGGGUGCUAACUUCAGGA